RNAcentral lists this long non-coding RNA (4933 nucleotides) under Gossypium barbadense (sea-island cotton). RNAcentral's name for it is "long non-coding RNA (GBAR_LNC000619)". Lineage: Eukaryota; Viridiplantae; Streptophyta; Magnoliopsida; Malvales; Malvaceae. The record is from RNAcentral.
UCCCCUUUGUACAUGCACAUUAUACAUUCAAUGUGAUGAAUUAAGGUAAUAUUUCCUCCCUUUGGACGUUCAUGAAUCCACCCAUACAUGUAUAGGAGCUGAUUGGUCAAAUUGAGGUGUGAAUGGCUUAGAUGCUGCCUUGGGAAUACGAUCGGCCAAGCUUGUGCUUUAAAUUGCUGGACACCUUUUGGCCAAAUAGGUGCCUUGGGGAGCCAAAUGGAUAAGCCACCAUUCAUUGAAAGAGGCCUUACAUGCACCGUCCCAUACAUUGAACCUAUCAUGCAUGAACCUUGUUUAAUUACUCUCCAAAUUCAGCUCACCUACAAAAACACAUGAACCAAAAUUAAAUCACAUAAAAUUCAGCUGAACAAACAUUAAUAUAAUUUAGACACACUAAUUAAACAUAAAUUAAAUUAGACAAAUUUAAUAAAGUCUUAACAAGACAUAUUAAAUUUGGCCAAGACACAUUUAAAACAUGUAAUAAGUCAAAACAUAAUUAUGAGCUGUAGUAAUUUAAACUAAAUUAAUAAAUUACUUAAUUUAUUCAGACAUUAAAAUAAAUGAGUUGAAAUAAACUUAAGCCAAGCUCAAACGAGCUAAAGUAAGCUAAAUUGAGCUCAAACGAGCUAAAUUAAGCUCAUGUGAGCUAAAUCGAGCUGGGAAAAACUAAGAUUGAGCUUGUUGAGUUGAGAUUGAGCUUCAUCUUGCACUUGGGGCCCUCGUGUUUAGGCCAAUCAUGAUAGCAACGAGUGGUGCCACAACAUGAUGCGAUUGAGAUCACAUCAUACCCUCCCUCUUGAAGACGAUUUGUCCUCAAAUCGAGCCAUUUUCUCAAAAAAAAUUUUACAUCGUCACCAGCCCCUUUGUCGAUGGAGUUGACAUAGUUGCUCCCAAAAACCUGCAAAUCAGACAUGCCUUGAGUAGGACACAAUUUAUGUUUAUACCCUCCCUCUUUAGGAGGGAACCACUUCGAAGUGUCACCUACACAAAAAUUAAAUAGAUUAGUGACACCAUGGUUUAUAAGUUCAAAAGGUCUUCUUAAGAUCUUAUGCAAAAAUUGCACCAAUGAACCAGUGCCGGGAUCAAAAAUAAAAACCGUUCUUACCUUUUUCUCCAAUGGACACAAACCUAAAUCACAAGUCAGUCGAAAAGCAUAAUCUCGAAAAUCAAAAUUGCAAAAUCCAAACCCUUUUAACAAGAACAAAGAAUAAUAAUCUCCGGGGUCAAAAACAAAGCUUCCUCUUGCUUGGCUUGACGUUAACUUAGGAAUGUAUAUCCCGGGUUUAAAAACGCGAUUUUCAUUGAUCGUUUCGCAAUGCAACAAAAAUUUCUUCUUCACCAAGACUUCACACAUGUCAAGCAAAUAGGAGUUAGGCAUACAUACAUUUGAGCAAUCAAACCCUUCAUAUUUCAUUCGCACACGUAAACAAGAAAAGUUCACACCACAAUUUAGAUAAUUCACAUGAUCAUCACAAGCACACAGAUUAGAUGUCAACUUUUCAUCACACAAUCCCAAAUUUUGUUUGGGCUUACCUGGACUUACUUCUUGAUCAAUCUUGACAAUGAUAGGCUCAUGAGCAGAAAGAUAUUUCACAUUACUAUGUAAAACACAUUUAUCAACAAUCAAAUUAUGAUUUCCAAUCAGAUCAAGAUGAAAAACUUUCUCACAAACUAAGUCUUUGCUAAUCUCGUCAUCAAGAAUCAAGUAAGAUUGGGAAGACUCAAAUACAGUAGAUCCCUUACAUGGCUUACCUUUAAGCACUUGUGGACUAGGGUCAUCUACGAUCUUACCUUUCUCGACUAAUCGAAAUCGUUUCUCCUUAGAAAAAUAUUGAAGUUGAAAUUGAUCGAUGGGAUUUUGAGAAACCUGAAAAGUAGAAACAAAACAAGGAAAAUUCAUAGGAUGGUUAGUAACAACACUCCUUUCUUCUUCACUCUCGUUUCUUCCUUCAAUCUCACUCUCUUUUUCGGUUUCCUUUUCUUUUUCGCACUCGUUUUUAUUUUCAAUCUCAUUUUCAAUUUUCUUUUCUAUCUCACACUCAUCUUCUUUUUCUUUCAUUUCUUUUUCUUUUUCAUUUUCUCGCUCACACUCUUUUUCUUUUUCACAUGAUGUUUCGAUUUCAUUACAAAAGUAUAAAUCAUCAAAAAGAGAAACCUUUUGUUGAGAAUAAGAAAAGGGUUCUUCACACAAAUGGCAAUCUUCUCUUUGUGAUAGAUCUUCCGUAGCCGAGUACUUUGACACUCUUGAAGCACGUUCGCCUCUUCGUAAAUAAUCCUUUGUAGAUGAAUAAAUUGAGGCACUUGUAGAGACACGUUUACUUUUUCGUUUAUCAUCUCGGAAGGACUCAAACUCGGAGUUUGCUACUCUUGGUCUCGUACGCCUUGUUGAAUAAACGUCUUGAUAAGAGUUUCUUGUCGAGUAGCGUCGUCGGGAUGAUCUUAACUCCGUCUCAUGACUCGAUGAAAUUUGCUUUUGUUGGGCUCUUGUCUCUAUUCGAUCCAAUCUAUCAUGCAAUUUAUCAAAAUUUGAUUUCACAAUUCUACGUAUCUCUUGCUUCAAAUAUUGGAAAUCUGAUUCGGAAAAUUCUUGUGACAUGUUUUUUUUUAAAAAAAAUGAUUAAAAUAAAAUAGAAAGUAAAUACCUCACCACAAAAAUCUCACGUUUCACUUCACAAUGAAAAUUGGAUAACACUCCACUCGUGUUUACACUCUUUAAUGGCUUUUUCUUUGAUGUAAAACACACGUGCCUUUUACCUCUCGACCUCGUCUCACAAUUUCGUAAUUCGUCUCGAUAGACUUAAUUUGCUACUUGAGGGUCGGUUUCAAAAUAGGUUACAAAGGAAUGAUGUGGGUGUAGGGUAGGCUAAACAAAAUAAAAUCAAGGCUAAGUGUGGCGUUGGGAUGGGUAAAUAAUGGUAGGAAGGGAAACUUGAUGAUCGGAGCAAAUAAGAGAGAGAAAAAAAAAUAAAAAUAAAAACUCGCAAGACUUUUCACUUUUUUUAACUUGAUUUUUUUUUCAAUCAAUUUUUUUUUUCGAAUUUUUUUUUGAUUUUUUUUUGUUACUCCAAUACAAUAGUAAGCUAAAUACAAGGGAAAAAAAAAAUUUUAAUUACAACUCAAACUUUUUUUUUUUGAUUUUUUUUUCACGUUUCGAACCUACUUACGGCCUUAUUACGAAUGUCGGUGCUCCUCGUUUUGCAAGCUCUGAUACCAAAUGAUGUGAUCCGGCCCAGGUUAACCGAGUCAUUUCACAAAGUUGCCCGAUCGUCUACGAGGAGUAGUUGGAGUUGUCAAAAUUGGGUGAUUUAGGCUAAGGGUUGCGGAAGCUUUGAGAGGGUUUAGAUGAGUGGUUUGGUGUUGAUAAAUUCGGUUUAGAAUAGAAACAAGGUAGGUUAGAAAAAGGUAAUUGAUGGAGAUGGAAAAUAAAACUUAAACGUCAAGAAUGUUCAAUACUAAAAAAGUAUUGCCCCGAGUCUUAUAUUGCUUAAGGUGAAUUUUGAUGAAGGAUAGAAGCGGACCUUGACCCGUUACCUAUAUGGAGGUAAGAACCAAAGGUAUAGGAAGAUGGUUGAACGCCACACCGAUUCGGUGAUAAGUUCAAUGGAGUUCGGAUUGACACCACUAGCAAGCUAGAUAAGUCGCUUCGAGACUCGAACGAAAGAAGAGAGGAGGUAACCUCACAAGAACAAAAGUUCUAUUAAGUUUAAUUGAUCAAAUUCUGUAACCUUUUACAAUAAACAAAAUAAACUAUUUAUAGGCUCUCUAAUGCCUAUUAAAAUUCAGCUACUAAUGUGUUCACACAACAAUUAAAAAUGUUCACACUUCAAGCAUUAAAUCUCUGUUCAUGGAUAGUGUAAGUUCAUGCAUGGUUGAAUAAUCAUGUUUCUUCCCAAAACCCGUUCAUGCAUGCUUAACCAAUAAGAAAGCUUCCUUGUUCCAUGAAUGUGCAUCUUCAAUUCAUAUCCAACCCCUCUUGGACAAAUGCUAGGUGCAUGGGUCAUGUAUCUCUCUUAAUUAAAGCUUUAAUGAUGGGCUGGUUCAUGAAUGGAAGCAUGUACCUUCUAAAUUCGUUCUCCCCUUUGUACAUGCACAUUAUACAUUCAAUGUGAUGAAGACCUUGACCCGUUACCUAUAUGGAGGUAAGAACCAAAGGUAUAGGAAGAUGGUUGAACGCCACACCGAUUCGGUGAUAAGUUCAAUGGAGUUCGGAUUGACACCACUAGCAAGCUAGAUAAGUCGCUUCGAGACUCGAACGAAAGAAGAGAGGAGGUAACCUCACAAGAACAAAAGUUCUAUUAAGUUUAAUUGAUCAAAUUCUGUAACCUUUUACAAUAAACAAAAUAAACUAUUUAUAGGCUCUCUAAUGCCUAUUAAAAUUCAGCUACUAAUGUGUUCACACAACAAUUAAAAAUGUUCACACUUCAAGCAUUAAAUCUCUGUUCAUGGAUAGUGUAAGUUCAUGCAUGGUUGAAUAAUCAUGUUUCUUCCCAAAACCCGUUCAUGCAUGCUUAACCAAUAAGAAAGCUUCCUUGUUCCAUGAAUGUGCAUCUUCAAUUCAUAUCCAACCCCUCUUGGACAAAUGCUAGGUGCAUGGGUCAUGUAUCUCUCUUAAUUAAAGCUUUAAUGAUGGGCUGGUUCAUGAAUGGAAGCAUGUACCUUCUAAAUUCGUUCUCCCCUUUGUACAUGCACAUUAUACAUUCAAUGUGAUGAAUUAAGGUAAUAUUUCCUCCCUUUGGACGUUCAUGAAUCCACCCAUACAUGUAUAGGAGCUGAUUGGUCAAAUUGAGGUGUGAAUGGCUUAGAUGCUGCCUUGGGAAUACGAUCGGCCAAGCUUGUGCUUUAAAUUGCUGGACACCUUUUGGCCAAAUAGGUGCCUUGGGGAGCCAAAUGGAUAAGCCACCAUUCAUUGAAAGAGGCCUUACAUGCACCGUCC